This 21-nucleotide unclassified non-coding RNA is filed under the name Dictyostelium discoideum. The record is from RNAcentral. Lineage: Eukaryota; Evosea; Eumycetozoa; Dictyosteliales; Dictyosteliaceae.
UAACAGAGGAAUAACGGUGAA